CUACAGGUGAAUAAGAUGCAACAAAACUUGGCCAAGAUUAAAAAAAAGAAGAAGAAGAAGAAGAACAACAACAACAAUAGAGUUGAAAGUGGUCACAUGGUGGAUGAUGAAAACAAUAGCAGGUGAAGCAAACAAGCAUACUGAGACUUGUGCUAGCAGGAACUGUGUCCACCAUGCGUGAAGAAUACAGUAGGAAAAUCUUUGUGAUUUCAGAACUGAUAUGGCUGAUUCCAGCCAGAACAUUUAAACUCUGACUAAGCAUUUCCAAACUCCAGGUCAUAAAUUUUUGUACAGAAAAAUAAGUCAAGAAUGACCCAGACUAAGGACUACACACUAUGUUUUAGACUGUAUAUAAAACUAAGCCUUAUGAAUACCAUUCAGUAAAUAUAGAAUCAAGUGUAUCCUAUAUGCACAAGUCUUGUGUUACUGUGGGGAACAAUAGAAGGAAGGUCUUUGACUCUCAGAUGUUUAGAGUCCUCUCUCCAGACUUCUUAAGUAGACAUUUCAGAAUACCAGAGCCUAGUGGAAAACUAUUGAAAGGGAUUAACCUUAUAGUCUCAGAGCAUAAUUUAAAUAUUUUUGUAGUCCCAAAGUUUUUGGUAUCAAUAUGAGAAAGUUAAAUUUUAUUGACAAUAAUUCUGCACCUACCCCUACCCAACCCUGUCCUUCUCAAGUGUUCUGUGAUGCUAAAUUGCUAGUAUGCAACAGAAACCUAAAACCAAGCCUCAGUGCAUGAACUACUCACCAUUUAAAUGAACCAAGAUCAUGAUCCUGGAGAAUAGUAACUUCCCAGAGCGAGAAGAUAUUGCAAGUUGGAGGCAUAGUACAGUAUCUUCCAUGAAAGCAGCUUGCCCCAAUUUGUGCUUCAUGGGUGUUUUACAGAAUUCUCAUUCUAUCAUCAGAUAAGUUUGGAAAACUGCAUUGGUUUGAAUAUGACUUAUGUCCCCCAACAGUCCAUUGUGAUUUAAAGCUCAGUCCUGGAGUGGUGCUUCUGGGAGGUGGUGGAACCUUUGAGAAGAGUGGCUCAGUAGGAGUAUUAGGUCAUUAGGGGUAGAAAGUUAUUUUCAGUGGAACCCCUUUGGUAUUUCUCCCAAGCCAGUUGCUAUAAAAGGAGCAAGCAUAGCCCCACCCAUCCUCUUUUUCCCUCCACUCCUAAUUUAAGAUGUUAUCAUGGCUUGCUGCUGCCAUUGCUACCCACUGUGAUAUGACCCAGCUGAGAACUAAGCCAAUACAAACAUGCCAUGAACCAGCAAGACUGGGAGCUAAAUAAAC
RNAcentral lists this long non-coding RNA (1272 nucleotides) under Marmota monax (woodchuck). Lineage: Eukaryota; Metazoa; Chordata; Mammalia; Rodentia; Sciuridae. The record is from RNAcentral.